CGCCAUGGUGUGUAUGUCCCUCGCCCUCUCCGCUUCCUGGCCUGGGCUCCUCCCGCCUGAAAGUGGUCCGUCAUGCAUGUUAUGAGGAACAUACACACACACAAGGGUUCUACUGCAAGUCCAACGCCUCAACUCCGCCAUGUCGAUGUCGUUCGCAACCUCCUGUGCCGGCCCGCAUGAGCUCACCUGUCCGCCGUCCAGGUGAGGUUCGUGUUUCCUCUGGACCACUCGCAGCACGACCAGUCCGGCACCGUCUACUUUUGGACUGGGAAAAUGGAUGUUUUCUUUUGUGAUGAAGAAACGCUGCUUGUUCGACGUGUUUGGAUGAAGUCAUGUCAAGACAAUGCUGUCCUUGGAUUGUUCCGCUUUCAUUACGGGUGAAGUUUACGUCUUGGGAAACGAGCAGCAGGAACGGUGGUCACCUGCUUCUUCCUCAAGUGUUUUCAAGAUCGCCGGAGUUACAUCGGAGCCAGGUGACCACUACCAAGAUCAAAAGAAUGUUAUCUUGGUUUUGGCCACUGAGUGGAGGGAGCAGCGGCAUGCAUGAUCAAGGACACACGUGGAGAGGCAACGACUGAGUUCGGCCCCAUCGCAGGAGAGUUAUAGAGGUUAGUGAUCGGCUGUCUAUCUUAGUCUAGUAUUUUCCUUUUUUCUUAUUUUUUACUUUUUGAUAUGAGCUUUUUGAGACAUGGGAAAGAAAAAUUAAAUCAAAAC
Eriocheir sinensis (Chinese mitten crab) is the source of this 714-nucleotide long non-coding RNA. RefSeq lists it as uncharacterized. Lineage: Eukaryota; Metazoa; Arthropoda; Malacostraca; Decapoda; Varunidae. The record is from RefSeq and is a predicted model, not a curated record. The transcript is spliced from 7 exons.